AGUCGAACGGUGAAAGAGAGCUUGCUCUCUGGAUCAGUGGCGAACGGGUGAGUAACACGUGAGCAACCUGCCCCGGACUCUGGGAUAACAGCUGGAAACAGCUGCUAAUACCGGAUACGAGCUGCGAAGGCAUCUUCAGCAGCUGGAAAGAAUUUCGGUCCGGGAUGGGCUCGCGGCCUAUCAGCUAGUUGGUGAGGUAAUGGCUCACCAAGGCGUCGACGGGUAGCCGGCCUGAGAGGGUGACCGGCCACACUGGGACUGAGACACGGCCCAGACUCCUACGGGAGGCAGCAGUGGGGAAUAUUGCACAAUGGGCGAAAGCCUGAUGCAGCAACGCCGCGUGAGGGAUGACGGCCUUCGGGUUGUAAACCUCUUUUAGCAGGGAAGAAGCGAAAGUGACGGUACCUGCAGAAAAAGCGCCGGCUAACUACGUGCCAGCAGCCGCGGUAAUACGUAGGGCGCAAGCGUUAUCCGGAAUUAUUGGGCGUAAAGAGCUCGUAGGCGGUUUGUCGCGUCUGCUGUGAAAACCCGAGGCUCAACCUCGGGCCUGCAGUGGGUACGGGCAGACUAGAGUGCGGUAGGGGAGAUUGGAAUUCCUGGUGUAGCGGUGGAAUGCGCAGAUAUCAGGAGGAACACCGAUGGCGAAGGCAGAUCUCUGGGCCGUAACUGACGCUGAGGAGCGAAAGGGUGGGGAGCAAACAGGCUUAGAUACCCUGGUAGUCCACCCCGUAAACGUUGGGAACUAGUUGUGGGGUCCAUUCCACGGAUUCCGUGACGCAGCUAACGCAUUAAGUUCCCCGCC
This 802-nucleotide ribosomal RNA is filed under the name Microbacterium sp. RNAcentral describes it as "bacterial SSU rRNA". It matches the Rfam family "Bacterial small subunit ribosomal RNA", at positions 60 to 873 of the family's 1533-position model. Lineage: Bacteria; Bacillati; Actinomycetota; Actinomycetes; Micrococcales; Microbacteriaceae. The record is from RNAcentral.